RNAcentral lists this ribosomal RNA (249 nucleotides) under uncultured Hyphomicrobiales bacterium. Its description in RNAcentral is "uncultured Rhizobiales bacterium partial 16S ribosomal RNA". It matches the Rfam family "Bacterial small subunit ribosomal RNA", at positions 355 to 621 of the family's 1533-position model. Lineage: Bacteria; Pseudomonadati; Pseudomonadota; Alphaproteobacteria; Hyphomicrobiales. The record is from RNAcentral.
UGGGGAAUAUUGGACAAUGGGCGCAAGCCUGAUCCAGCCAUGCCGCGUGAGUGAUGAAGGCCUUAGGGUUGUAAAGCUCUUUUACCAGGGAAGAUAAUGACGGUACCUGGAGAAUAAGCCCCGGCUAACUUCGUGCCAGCAGCCGCGGUAAUACGAAGGGGGCUAGCGUUGCUCGGAAUUACUGGGCGUAAAGCGUCCGUAGGGGGUUGGUCAAGGCUGCUGUUAAAGCGUGCGGCUUAACCCCACAUC